This 468-nucleotide ribosomal RNA is filed under the name uncultured bacterium. RNAcentral's name for it is "partial 16S ribosomal RNA". It matches the Rfam family "Bacterial small subunit ribosomal RNA", at positions 28 to 507 of the family's 1533-position model. The record is from RNAcentral.
GACGAACGCUGGCGGCGUGCUUAACACAUGCAAGUCGAACGGAAAGGCCCUGCUUUUGUGGGGUGCUCGAGUGGCGAACGGGUGAGUAACACGUGAGUAACCUGCCCUUGACUUUGGGAUAACUUCAGGAAACUGGGGCUAAUACCGGAUAGGAGCUCCUGCUGCAUGGUGGGGGUUGGAAAGUUUCGGCGGUUGGGGAUGGGCUCGCGGCUUAUCAGCUUGUUGGUGGGGUAGUGGCUUACCAAGGCUUUGACGGGUAGCCGGCCUGAGAGGGUGACCGGCCACAUUGGGACUGAGAUACGGCCCAGACUCCUACGGGUGGCAGCAGUGGGGAAUAUUGCACAAUGGGCGGAAGCCUGAUGCAGCAACGCCGCGUGCGGGAUGACGGCCUUCGGGUUGUAAACCGCUUUCGCCUGUGACGAAGCGUGAGUGACGGUAAUGGGUAAAGAAGCACCGGCUAACUACGUG